Molecule: ribosomal RNA, 577 nt
Filed under: Rhodotorula graminis
Lineage: Eukaryota; Fungi; Basidiomycota; Microbotryomycetes; Sporidiobolales; Sporidiobolaceae
Description: eukaryotic LSU rRNA
Rfam family: Eukaryotic large subunit ribosomal RNA
Source: RNAcentral
UCUGCAUUCCCUAGUAGCGGCGAGCGAGCGGGAAGAGCUCAAAUUUAUAAUCUGGCACCUUCGGUGUCCGAGUUGUAAUCUCUAGAAGUGUUUUCCGCGUUGGACCGCACACAAGUCUGUUGGAAUACAGCGGCAUAGUGGUGAAACCCCCGUAUAUGGUGCGGACGCCCAGCGCUUUGUGAUACACUUUCAAUGAGUCGAGUUGUUUGGGAAUGCAGCUCAAAUUGGGUGGUAAAUUCCAUCUAAAGCUAAAUAUUGGCGAGAGACCGAUAGCGAACAAGUACCGUGAGGGAAAGAUGAAAAGCACUUUGGAAAGAGAGUUAACAGUACGUGAAAUUGUUGGAAGGGAAACGCUUGAAGUCAGACUUGCUUGCCGGAGCUUGCUUCGGUUUGCAGGCCAGCAUCAGUUUUCCGGGGUGGAUAAUGACGGUUUGAAGGUAGCAGUCUCGGCUGUGUUAUAGCUUUCCGUUGGAUACAUCCUGGGGGACUGAGGAACGCAGCGUGCUUUUUGCGAAAGACUCGUCUUUUUCACGCUUAGGAUGCUGGUGGAAUGGCUUUAAACGACCCGUCUUGAACC